GACGAACGCUGGCGGCGUGCUUAACACAUGCAAGUCGAACGGAAAGGCCCUGCUUUUGUGGGGUGCUCGAGUGGCGAACGUGUGAGUAACACGUGAGUAACCUGCCCUUGACUUUGGGAUAACUUCAGGAAACUGGGGCUAAUACCGCAUAUGAGCUCCUGCUGCAUGGUGGGGGUUGGAAAGUUUCGGCGGUUGGGGAUGGACUCGCGGCUUAUCAGCUUGUUGGUGGGGUAGUGGCUUACCAAGGCUUUGACGGGUAGCCGGCCUGAGAGGGUGACCGGCCACAUUGGGACUGAGAUACGGCACAGACUCCUACGGGAGGCAGCAGUGGGGAAUAUUGCACAAUGGGCGGAAGCCUGAUGCAGCAACGCCGCGUGCGGGAUGACGGCCUUCGGGUUGUAAACCGCUUUCGCCUGUGACGAAGCGUGAGUGACGGUAAUGGGUAAAGAAGCACCGGCUAACUACGUG
Molecule: ribosomal RNA, 468 nt
Filed under: uncultured bacterium
Lineage: Bacteria
Description: partial 16S ribosomal RNA
Rfam family: Bacterial small subunit ribosomal RNA
Source: RNAcentral